RNAcentral lists this ribosomal RNA (573 nucleotides) under Oxyeleotris lineolata (sleepy cod). RNAcentral's name for it is "partial 16S ribosomal RNA". It matches the Rfam family "Bacterial large subunit ribosomal RNA", at positions 1849 to 2621 of the family's 2925-position model. Lineage: Eukaryota; Metazoa; Chordata; Actinopteri; Gobiiformes; Eleotridae. The record is from RNAcentral.
AGAGUCCCGCCUGCCCUGUGACGUAACAGUUUAACGGCCGCGGUAUUUUGACCGUGCGAAGGUAGCGUAAUCACUUGUCUUUUAAAUGAAGACCGGUAUGAAUGGCAUAACGAGGGCUAAGCUGUCUCCUUUUUCCAGUCAAUGAAAUUGAUCUGCCCGUGCAGAAGCGGGCAUACAACCAUAAGACGAGAAGACCCUAUGGAGCUUUAGACACCAGGAUAACUCACGUUAAACUCCUCCAUAAAGAGCAUCAAACUAAAUGACCCCUUAUCCCACUGUCUUUGGUUGGGGCGACCGCGGGGCAACAACAACCCCCCACGUGGAACGGAACAUCCCUCCUAAAAACAGAGCCACAGCUCUAACAUACAGAACUUCUGACCAACAAGAUCCGGCACUACCGAUCAACGGACCGAGUUACCCUAGGGAUAACAGCGCAAUCCCCUUUUAGAGCCCAUAUCGACAAGGGGGUUUACGACCUCGAUGUUGGAUCAGGACAUCCUAAUGGUGCAGCCGCUAUUAAGGGUUCGUUUGUUCAACGAUUAAAGUCCUACGUGAUCUGAGUCAAGACCGGAG